UGACAAGGUUAUAGAUAUAGUACAUUAG
This 28-nucleotide non-coding RNA is filed under the name Mus musculus (house mouse). The record is from RNAcentral. Lineage: Eukaryota; Metazoa; Chordata; Mammalia; Rodentia; Muridae.